Molecule: long non-coding RNA, 690 nt
Filed under: Mytilus galloprovincialis (Mediterranean mussel)
Lineage: Eukaryota; Metazoa; Mollusca; Bivalvia; Mytilida; Mytilidae
Source: RNAcentral
UGUUAUUGAAUACACCAUUUGAAUCACCUUGACUUUUUAUGCUUGAAUGCAUGACCAUUCUUUUAUAUUUAUUGAAAUUCUUAUCAACCACUGAUGAUUUUGUUAUUACACUUCCAUUUUAAGGUUGAUUUUUACAGACAAUAUUCACUAUAUUAAGGAGUUUGUGUCCCAUCAAUUACUUUGAAUCAUUGUUUGAUAUUUGUACUCAGAAUUUCUUAAAUUAACAUGCCAGAUGUCUUAGGUGAAUUGUUUACUUAUCCCCAACCAUGAUUUUGUUGUUGUCAUAUAUUUUAGGAUUUUUGCAAUGUCAACCGGUACUGAAAUCAUGAGGUAAAUUUUGUCCAUUUGUUCUUUUUGAUUUAUAUUUUUUUUUCUAUUUAGACUUGUUUUAAUCUAUUCACCUAAAAUGGUCCUUUUGCAUUUAUAAACAUAUUUGAAUAAACCAAACUUGUGUACGUAAUAAUGCUCAUAAAGAAAGCAAUCCAAAUGUUGGAUCGAUAGGAUUCAGUAUGACCUAACUUAAUCUUUAAAUGUUUAAUUCCUGUUUAUAUCAUCAGAUGUAGCAUUUGUGCACAUAAAAAUACACCAAGUGUUUACACUUAACCUUUUUACAACAUGCAUUUAUGUCAGGAAAAUUGUGUAUUCCUUUCAUUUACCCGUAAUUUUUUAAUGACAUUUUUUACACACAAU